This 510-nucleotide ribosomal RNA is filed under the name [Candida] sp. ES13S05. RNAcentral's name for it is "eukaryotic LSU rRNA". It matches the Rfam family "Eukaryotic large subunit ribosomal RNA", at positions 89 to 650 of the family's 3401-position model. Lineage: Eukaryota; Fungi; Ascomycota; Saccharomycetes; Saccharomycetales. The record is from RNAcentral.
GCGAGUGAAGCGGCAAAAGCUCCACUUUGAAAGCGUUUCGGCGCGUUGUAGUGUGGUUCAGUCUUUGAAUUUAGGAGAACUAAGUCCUUUGGAACAAGGCGCCAUAGAGGGUGAGAGCCCCGUGAGUUCUUUAAUGGAUUCUUUAAGUCUGUACCGAAGAGUCGAGUUGUUUGGGAAUGCAGCUCUAAGUGGGUGGUAAAUUCCAUCUAAGGCUAAAUAUUGGCGAGAGACCGAUAGCGAACAAGUACAGUGAUGGAAAGAUGAAAAGCACUUUGAAAAGAGAGUGAAACAGUACGUGAAAUUGUUGAAAGGGAAGGGUAUUUGGCUCGACAUGGGUCCUGUGCACCGUUGCUUCUUGUAGGCGGCGCUCUGCUGGGGCCUGGGCCAGCAUCAGUUUUCUGGCGGGGAUAAGGUUUUGUGAACUACAAUGUAGGGAUCAAGGCGAUGCCCGCACGGGGGACUGAGGACUGCCGUUUUGUAGGAUGCUGGCAUAACGGCCAAAUACCGCCC